CCUGCCCAGUGACAAACGUUAAACGGCCGCGGUAUUCUGACCGUGCAAAGGUAGCAUAAUCAUUUGUUCUUUAAAUAAGGACUUGUAUGAAUGGCCACACGAGGGUUUUACUGUCUCUUACUUCCAAUCAGUGAAAUUGACCUUCCCGUGAAGAGGCGGGAAUAAGAAAAUAAGACGAGAAGACCCUAUGGAGCUUUAACUAGUUAGCUUAAAGAAAAAAAAACUUUACCACCAAGGAAUAACACUAAUCUUAAUAAACUAACAGUUUCGGUUGGGGUGACCUCGGAGAAUAAAAAACCCUCCGAGCGAUUUUAAAAACAAGACACACAAGUCAAAUUGAACUAUCGCUUAUUGAUCCAAAAUUUGAUCAACGGAACAAGUUACCCUAGGGAUAACAGCGCAAUCCUAUUCAAGAGUUCAUAUCGACAAUAGGGUUUACGACCUCGAUGUUGGAUCAGGACACCCCGAUGGUGCAACCGCUAUCAAAGGUUCGUUUGUUCAACGAUUAAAGUCCUACGUGAUCUGAGUC
RNAcentral lists this ribosomal RNA (529 nucleotides) under Gazella bennettii (chinkara). RNAcentral describes it as "partial 16S ribosomal RNA". It matches the Rfam family "Bacterial large subunit ribosomal RNA", at positions 1858 to 2611 of the family's 2925-position model. The record is from RNAcentral. Lineage: Eukaryota; Metazoa; Chordata; Mammalia; Artiodactyla; Bovidae.